This 77-nucleotide transfer RNA is filed under the name Roseovarius aestuarii. RNAcentral describes it as "tRNA-Met". It matches the Rfam family "tRNA". From Rfam's summary of the family: Transfer RNA (tRNA) molecules are approximately 80 nucleotides in length. Their secondary structure includes four short double-helical elements and three loops (D, anti-codon, and T loops). Further hydrogen bonds mediate the characteristic L-shaped molecular structure. tRNAs have two regions of fundamental functional importance: the anti-codon, which is responsible for specific mRNA codon recognition, and the 3' end, to which the tRNAs corresponding amino acid is attached (by aminoacyl-tRNA synthetases). tRNAs cope with the degeneracy of the genetic code in two manners: having more than one tRNA (with a specific anti-codon) for a particular amino acid; and 'wobble' base-pairing, i.e. permitting non-standard base-pairing at the 3rd anti-codon position. RNAcentral also lists the same sequence under 16 other names. The record is from RNAcentral. Lineage: Bacteria; Pseudomonadati; Pseudomonadota; Alphaproteobacteria; Rhodobacterales; Roseobacteraceae.
GGCGGAGUAGCUCAGUCGGUUAGAGCAGCGGAAUCAUAAUCCGCGUGUCGGGGGUUCAAGUCCCUCCUCCGCUACCA